Molecule: RNA transcript, 3492 nt
Organism: Oncorhynchus tshawytscha (Chinook salmon)
Lineage: Eukaryota; Metazoa; Chordata; Actinopteri; Salmoniformes; Salmonidae
Gene name: vacuolar protein sorting-associated protein 13D-like
Exons: 7
Source: RefSeq, a predicted model, not a curated record
AACCCACGAGAGAUCACGUAACUAUCUUAACCACUGUUCCAUUGUGUGUGUCUCCAUAUCUCUGUGUGUCCGUUUUCAUUUGCGUCUUUGUGUGUGUCAGGUUGGGGGCCCUUCAUCGAGCCCUGGUCCUGUUUCAGUCUGCAGGGUGCCUCCAGCCAUCGCACCUCAAGAUGGGCAUCCACGCCAAGCAGACUGAACGUCAACAUCACCUCUGUUCUUUUGGAGCAGUACAGCCUCACCAAGAGCAUCUUGGCUGGCUGACGACUGCAAGAAAGAGGAGCAGCCUUCCCAACCCUCGGCAGCUCUAUCCUGGAUGGGCUCCUCAGUGGACCCCCCCGUGCUUCGGACAGAGUGAGUACUGUUCACACACACACACACGCAUCACUUGUUAUGAGCUGAAAAUAGCCUCUGUAGAAAAAGUAGAGCCCUCAUACUCAAUUGCUCCAGCACAUUACUGUAUUAGUUAGCGGGUAGUUACAAAAAUCAGAUUUAAUAUACGUUUGUUCUGGAGUAUAUGAUUGCGUGGUUCCCACUUUAUUCUAUUCUAACUUUUCGAUAGUGCCAGCAUUUCUUUGUAUUUCCAUUUGUAUCACGUCAUCUGGUGUGGAUUUUUUUGCUAUGCAACAAAGCUUUACACAGAUGCAUUGGAAACCUGCCUGAAUUAUCGCCGCCUUCGCAUGGUUAUUGCACAUUUGGAUUGUUUGACGAAAAUGAAAUUGUUGAGAAUGAAUGACUGUCUAUUUACACCGCUCCUUUGCCUUGUCAAAAUGGUGUAUUAAGAGUUAAGACCGGCUCAUGUUUUUGUUCAAUCAUUUUGGUAACUCUUUACUUUAUGGUCCUAGGCCUAUAUAGGUCUAUCGUGUAUAAAUUAUGCUCUCAGCUAACAGCUACGACAUUUGUUAUGGCCUUAUUAUGACAGUGUAGGCCUUAUGGCAGAGUGCUUCAAGUCAAAGUAAGAUUGCUGUUAAGAUGUUAUUUAGCUUAGAUCCAGGUAUUUUGCUUGGUAGUAAUGACCACAUAAUAUAAAAUAAAACACACUUGUCAUGGUUGGUAUUAAAACAUGUUUUUUUAGUACACCCUGACCUUUGCCCUCUUCUGACCCCUAGCACGUCUCUCCUCUCUGUGGUAACUGUCUCUCUCUGCUGUCAGGUGUCCCUCUUGACUACCACAGUCAGUUUGCCUUGCCUUGAGCAGCACAUUGACUCCAGAGGUACAGUCUAUAGAUCAGAGAGAGGGCAGCAGGUUGGCCUCCGCCAUAGAAAUAUAAUUACAAGAAUGGUAAUAAAUAAGUAGAAUGGGUGGACCGGUGGCCAGGAAGUAGUCGUAUUAUAUUUCUAUGGUAUCCACACCAUGGGUUUUCCCAUCUCAAUGCUUUUCCUUUAUCAUGUGUGUCAUUGCUAUCCUUACUUAAGCACAGCGUUAAUGCAACGUUAUCACAGUGUUUUGUGUAACACUAGUAUUUCACGAUCUUGUGACAAUAUUGGCAAAUUUGAUCCACUGUUAAACUGAAGUCCGUAUAAUCAGCAUCCACAGAGACAGUAUUUUAUUGACCCCCUUAGUUAGAACAGAGCUAUUGUGUCAGGUGGUGCCGGAGUCAUGUUAGAAAGAAAGAUCAUCUGUUUAUUCUCAGACUUUCCUUCUCUUUUCUUCUACUCUCUCUGUUUGUCAUGUUUCACGUCCCCCCCAUUCAAUGUCAAUCUAUAUGAAUCCAAUCCAUUGUGAUUAUCAUUGUUUACUAUCAUUAUUUACCCAGUUUAUGUUUGGAGCAAGGGUGAGCCUCCAUCUCUGAUCUAGGCACUGCUCUAUGCUAACUGGAGACCAAAACUGAACAUGCAAGUUGAGAUUGAGAGAACAAGAAAUGUAGGGAGUUGGAGAGGUUUAUCUUCUUGGUUGCAAAAAUACCAUGGACCAAAGAGUAGGAUUUAAGUGUGAAUAAAUAUUUCUGCUUUAUCCAUGUGAACCGCUUGGUGGCAGGUAUGGUCAUGUUGGUUGGCUAAACAGCAUGCCUCCAGCUGUACAACACAUAAUGGAAAACUAACAUUCGGAAAUACGGACAUUUGGCCUUGAUUAAUUAUGUUAGUAUAAUAGGGAUUGUUGUGCAUUCCAUAAAUGACAUGUUGAUGUGGAUAUCUGCAUAAAAACACAAAAACAUAAUGUCAUUGUGUUAUAUCAUUUGAAAUGCAAUAGAAGGAAUUCAAGUGAACACUACAUUAGUAGUUUUUCCUUUUUUUAUAUUUUGAAUUUCAGAGAGUCCAAUCUAUUGUUUAACAUAUAGGAAAGUGGAUGCAUGACAGUUUGAAGUUAUAGGCCCGGUAGUGAAGAAUACCUCUCUUUCCUCGUCUGCUUCGUAGUCAAUAACACAGGGUGUACUAUGUGGUUCGCCACCCUCACCACCAACCCUACAAGAUCAGUGGAGCAGUCUUCCCACUGAUAAUGUCAUAUUGCUGAGUCUACCAUUAAAAAUGUGCAGCCCAGGCAUCCUACAUCUGAUCGUUGCGCCUUCCUGAAUCAUUGCAUGUUGGUAACCAGAGUCCUCAGUUUCCCCACAGGGUGGCGCUGUCUCACAGUGUCAGUGCAGGCCCCAUAUCCCACGUGCACAGCUCUGUCAGAUGACAACCACAUCGUCAGCCAGUGGCAAGAGGUGCUGCCUGGAGAGGUGAUUUCCUUUUGAGUUUGAAGCUCGAGAAAAACUCAGGCAUAGACAUACUCACGAGCUGAAGCUGCUCCUGGUGCGGGUGGGGGGCUGGGAGCAAGUGAAACUCGUGUCCGUGGACAAAGUGGUCGUGUUCUAUCGCUACACCACCCCCGACCGCAAUAACCCUUCUUACACGGUUCUGCGUGGUGAUCAAGAAGGAGAACUACCUGGACCAGCAGCAUGCCAAGAUGGUGUCGGGUUUGGGCAGCGCUAAGCAGAUAUCCUGGCAGCUGGGCCACACCAUUUACCUGCUGCCCACACUGGUGCUGGCUAUCCUGAUGCCCAGCGACCUUAACUACUACAUCAAGGGUACCUCCAUCAAGGGCUCCCUGAAGCCAGGCAAGGAGGCCAUGCUGCACGCUGCAGACACCUCCCAGAACUUGGAGCUAGGUGGGCUGCCGGAGAACUUCCCUGUGUGUAAGGAGCUGCUUAUUCCCCCUGGUACCCAGAACUAUGUGGUGCUAUACAACGCCAACUAACGCUUGUUCUGUCUCACCAUCCACAUCACAGAAGGCGCUCAAGAUCCUCAUCUUAGCGCCUUAUUGGCUCUUCCACAAGACCGUUUGCAGAGUACUUGUCGGAUGGGUGGAGCAAGACCAUCAACAACUGACAUCAGAGCAAACAAGAGUACAUUCGUUACCAGGGAGCCACCAGCGGAGAGCAUCUGGUGGCCGGGAAUCAUGAAUUGGCUCAUGGUAUCAUCUGUGUUUUGACCAGCGUCAUCACGUCCACACUGGAGGGGGUGAAGACUGAGGGAAGGGUCAGUGGCUUCUUCUCAGGCUUGGGGAAAGGCCUGG